Molecule: ribosomal RNA, 455 nt
Filed under: uncultured bacterium
Lineage: Bacteria
Description: bacterial SSU rRNA
Rfam family: Bacterial small subunit ribosomal RNA
Source: RNAcentral
AUUGAACGCUGGCGGCAGGCCUAACACAUGCAAGUCGAGCGUGAAAGGGCUUCGGCCUGAGUAAAGCGGCGGACGGGUGAGUAACGCGUAGGAAUCUACCUGGUAGUGGGGGAGUAACGUUCCGAAAGGGACGCUAAUACCGCAUACGUUCCGAGGAAGAAAGCGGGGGAGUCGCAAGACCUCGCGCUAUCAGAUGAGCCUGCGUCCGAUUAGCUAGUUGGUGGGGUAAAGGCCUACCAAGGCGACGAUCGGUAACUGGUCUGAGAGGAUGAUCAGUCACACUGGAACUGAGACACGGUCCAGACUCCUACGGGAGGCAGCAGUGGGGAAUAUUGGACAAUGGGCGCAAGCCUGAUCCAGCCAUGCCGCGUGUGUGAAGAAGGCCUCGGUUGUUAAGACGACUUAAGUACGGGAGGGAAGGGACCGUGGUGGCGUAAGUACCCUACGUGACCGUU